UAUUAUUUUAAAUAAUUUGUUAGUAUCAGUAGUGUGCGAGUCGUUGAGUAAAUUUUUUUCAUAAAAGUUGAAACAUGACACAUAUUUAUGUCUCGUGUGUGUGUGGUCGGACAGCAGCUUGCUAAAGUAGAUGUUAGUCUUGAAACGGGAGUCAAACCCAGUCCUAGUGUAGACUCCAACGACGGAAGUUGCUUCUUCUUGUUGAAGUCUAUAGCUACAGUCCUGUUUCCCCACCGCCCCACAUGUACCCCUCGCUUUUGCCUUGGCCAGUACUCAGGUCCAUCUCCACCUCAACAAUUUUAAUUCUAAUCGCCCUGCCACCACGCCAUUUCGAGACAGCAAAGCAAAAAUUAACACAACAAGAUUUGAAAACUCACUUGCAUCUAAAGUUCCUAAUCUUGUCCUCCACCAAGAGAACCUUGGGGACCUGCAAUCAGGUGUCGCCGUCAGGCCAAAUCAAGAGAAGAACUAAAAAUGCGAGUAGAAGUGAUGAGGGGAUGAGAGACGUGCACGCUGCUGGAGCACUUCUUGAGAAGGUCGGAAAGGUCGCCCGGGUCUGCGCAUCCUGUCUCAACCUGAGACGGAGCAUUGGGUGCUGGAUCGAAGUGUUUGGGAGUGCGGGCAGGGGGGGCAUACCAUCCGGUGACGCAGAGACAGGCGAGGAAAGCCAUGGCAAGAGGGACCCUGCCCGAGGCGAGGGCGGAGGCAUCGGAGGAGGAGGGCUGAAAC
Molecule: unclassified non-coding RNA, 729 nt
Filed under: Zea mays
Lineage: Eukaryota; Viridiplantae; Streptophyta; Magnoliopsida; Poales; Poaceae
Description: misc RNA Zm00001eb203650
Source: RNAcentral